GCUCCAGGAGGGAGCACAUUUAUUGUGCAUGCCAUUCAGUUUAGAUUCUACUAGAGCAAAUGAUUACAACAACUCAGAGGAAAAAGCUGGAAAAUAAGUCCCUGAUGUAAAACUGGUCACAGGGCCAAAACGGUAGUGCCAAUUAUGAUUUCAGUGCCUUAUACACAUUACGUCGCCAACAGUCUUUUUAAAAAUAUCUAAUUUAUUUAUUAUUGGCUAGGGUGGGCAUAUUAAACAAUAUUUCUUCUCAAGUAGCCAGUUGUCUUUGCAUUAGAAGUUAAGAUUAAAAGUUUACAUUCACUUGUGUUAAUUUCACUUUUUUUGUUUUUAAAUGAGGAGCAUUAAUGGCAAUAAAUGGGCUAAAGAAAAAGAAUGCCUGGAGGGCUGACACAGCAUGGGUGUGGUCCUGGGGUAUAUAUAGCACUCUCUAUAAUUUUCUAGCUAAUGUUCCUUUCCUUGAUUACAUGGAUUAAAAGCAGCAUGUUAUUAUAUCUGGCAAGCCAA
Molecule: long non-coding RNA, 504 nt
Filed under: Homo sapiens (human)
Lineage: Eukaryota; Metazoa; Chordata; Mammalia; Primates; Hominidae
Description: HSALNT0022069
Source: RNAcentral